GACGAACGCUGGCGGCGUGCCUAAUACAUGCAAGUCGAACGCACUGACGUCGACAGAAGGUGCUUGCACUGGAAGUUGAUUGACGUGAGCGGCGGACGGGUGAGUAACACGUGAGUAACCUGCCCUUAAGCGGGGGAUAACAUUUGGAAACAGAUGCUAAUACCGCAUAAAAGUUGAGAUCACAUGGUCUUAAUUUGAAAGACGGCCUUUGGCUGUCACUUAAGGAUGGACCCGCGGCGUAUUAGCUAGUUGGUGAGAUAAUAGCCCACGAAGGCGAUGAGACGUAGCCGACCUGAGAGGGUAAUCGGCCACAUUGGGACUGAGACACGGCCCAAACUCCUACGGGAGGCAGCAGUAGGGAAUCUUCCACAAUGGACGAAAGUCUGAUGGAGCAACGCCGCGUGAGUGAAGAAGGUUUUCGGAUCGUAAAACUCUGUUGUUGGAGAAGAACAGGGACUAGAGUAACUGUUAGUCCUUUGACGGUAUCCAACCAGAAAGCCACGGCUAACUACGUGCCAGCAGCCGCCGUAA
RNAcentral lists this ribosomal RNA (531 nucleotides) under uncultured bacterium. RNAcentral's name for it is "partial 16S ribosomal RNA". It matches the Rfam family "Bacterial small subunit ribosomal RNA", at positions 28 to 523 of the family's 1533-position model. The record is from RNAcentral.